This 563-nucleotide ribosomal RNA is filed under the name uncultured bacterium. RNAcentral describes it as "partial 16S ribosomal RNA". It matches the Rfam family "Bacterial small subunit ribosomal RNA", at positions 355 to 1375 of the family's 1533-position model. The record is from RNAcentral.
UGGGGAAUAUUGCACAAUGGGCGAAAGCCUGAUGCAGCAACGCCGCGUGAGUGAUGAAGGCCUUCGGGUUGUAAAGCUCUGUCUUUUGGGACGAUAAUGACGGUACCAAAGGAGGAAGCCACGGCUAACUACGUGCCGGCAGCCGCGGUAAUACGUAGGUGGCAAGCGUUGUCCGGAUUUACUGGGCGUAAAGGAUGCGUAGGCGGAUUUUUAAGUGAGAUGUGAAAUACCCGGGCUUAACUUGGGUGCUGCAUUUCAAACUGGGAAUCUAGAGUGCGGGAGAGGAGAAUGGAAUUCCUAGUGUAGCGGUGAAAUGCGUAGAGAUUAGGAAGAACACCAGUGGCGAAGGCGAUUCUCUGGACCGUAACUGACGCUGAGGCAUGAAAGCGUGGGUAGCAAACAGGAUUAGAUACCCUGGUAGUCCACGCCGUAAACGAUGAGUACUAGGUGUAGGAGGUAUCGACCCCUUCUGUGCCGCAGUUAACACAAUAAGUACUCCGCCUGGGAAGUACGAUCGCAAGAUUAAAACUUAAAUGAAUUGACGGGGUCAUAGCUGUUUUCCU